This 405-nucleotide ribosomal RNA is filed under the name uncultured bacterium. RNAcentral's name for it is "bacterial SSU rRNA". It matches the Rfam family "Bacterial small subunit ribosomal RNA", at positions 355 to 776 of the family's 1533-position model. The record is from RNAcentral.
UGGGGGAUAUUGCACAAUGGGGGAAACCCUGAUGCAGCGACGCCGCGUGAGUGAAGAAGUAUUUCGGUAUGUAAAGCUCUAUCAGCAGGGAAGAAAAAAGACGGUACCUGACUAAGAAGCCCCGGCUAACUACGUGCCAGCAGCCGCGGUAAUACGUAGGGGGCAAGCGUUAUCCGGAUUUACUGGGUGUAAAGGGAGCGUAGACGGCAAUACAAGUCGGAAGUGAAAUACCCGGGCUCAACCUGGGAACUGCUUUGGAAACUGUAUGGCUGGAGUGCUGGAGAGGUAAGCGGAAUUCCUAGUGUAGCGGUGAAAUGCGUAGAUAUUAGGAGGAACACCAGUGGCGAAGGCGGCUUACUGGACAGUAACUGACGUUGAGGCUCGAAAGCGUGGGGAGCAAACAGG